GGUUCUCCAUAGUAUGAUGAGCCUGCCAAGGGGGAGCUUGAGUACUGCAAUCCAACAUGUUAUUAUGCCAAAACACCACCACCUCUACAUCAACUACAUUUCUCCAAAUUUCAGCUAUCAACCCUGUUUUACGUCUUCUACAGGUAUUAUAUUCUUUCCUUUUAUUUUUGGUGCUUUGCUCACAUACUUUGCUUCACAAAAAUCCAGAAUGUUGGAAAAGGUUGACAUGGAA
Long non-coding RNA from Zingiber officinale, 232 nucleotides. RefSeq lists it as uncharacterized. Lineage: Eukaryota; Viridiplantae; Streptophyta; Magnoliopsida; Zingiberales; Zingiberaceae. The transcript has 2 exons. The record is from RefSeq and is a predicted model, not a curated record.